This 57-nucleotide transfer RNA is filed under the name Loxodonta africana (African savanna elephant). It matches the Rfam family "tRNA", at positions 8 to 63 of the family's 71-position model. Rfam says of the family: Transfer RNA (tRNA) molecules are approximately 80 nucleotides in length. Their secondary structure includes four short double-helical elements and three loops (D, anti-codon, and T loops). Lineage: Eukaryota; Metazoa; Chordata; Mammalia; Proboscidea; Elephantidae. The record is from Rfam by way of RNAcentral.
UGGCUCAAUAGUUAAGCCUUAGGCUGCUAACCUAAAGGUUGGUGGUUCAAACCCACC